Molecule: transfer RNA, 73 nt
Filed under: Actinomycetes bacterium
Lineage: Bacteria; Bacillati; Actinomycetota; Actinomycetes
Also listed under: 4 other names
Description: Actinobacteria bacterium tRNA-Arg
Rfam family: tRNA
About the family: Transfer RNA (tRNA) molecules are approximately 80 nucleotides in length. Their secondary structure includes four short double-helical elements and three loops (D, anti-codon, and T loops).
Source: RNAcentral
GCGCCCGUAGCUCAGGGGAUAGAGCGAUGGCCUCCGGAGCCAUAGGCCGCAGGUUCGAAUCCUGCCGGGCGCA